RNAcentral lists this ribosomal RNA (253 nucleotides) under uncultured bacterium. RNAcentral describes it as "partial small subunit ribosomal RNA". It matches the Rfam family "Bacterial small subunit ribosomal RNA", at positions 26 to 278 of the family's 1533-position model. The record is from RNAcentral.
AGGACGAACGCUGGCGGCGUGCCUAACACAUGCAAGUUGAGCGACGAACCAGGGCUUGCCCUGGGGCAAAGCAGCGAACGGGUGAGUAACACGUGGGUGACCUGCCCCCUACUCUGGGAUAAGCCUGGGAAACUGGGUCUAAUACCGGAUAUGACUCAAGGCUGCAUGGUUUUGGGUGGAGAGCUUUUUGUGGUGGGGGAUGGGCCCGCGGCCUAUCAGCUUGUUGGUGGGGUGAUGGCCUACCAAGGCUUCG